RNAcentral lists this long non-coding RNA (367 nucleotides) under Phasianus colchicus (ring-necked pheasant). Its description in RNAcentral is "lncRNA (ENSPCLG00000017144.1)". The record is from RNAcentral. Lineage: Eukaryota; Metazoa; Chordata; Aves; Galliformes; Phasianidae.
AUCCCAGUUCAUCCCAGUGCCACCAUAUUGCCUUCCCAGUUCACCCCAUUCCGUCCCAGUGCCUCCCAGUAUCAUCCCAGUGCCUCCCAGUCCAUCCCAGUUCAUCCCAGUGCCUCCUUUGUGUCUUCCCAGUUCAUCCCAGUUCAUCCCAUCUCAUCCCAGUAUCAUCCCAGUGCCUCCCAGUUCAUCCCAGUGCCUCCCAGUUCAUCCCAGUGCCUCCUUUGUGUCUUCCCAGUCCAUCCCAGUUCAUCCCAGUUCAUCCCAGUUCAUCCCAGUUCAUCCCAGUUACUGUGUCCCCCCCGCAGGCGCCAGCAUCAGACAUGGAAUACGAACGCAGGUAAGGGGGGGGACCCCAAAAAGGAGAGAC